RNAcentral lists this ribosomal RNA (395 nucleotides) under uncultured bacterium. RNAcentral's name for it is "bacterial SSU rRNA". It matches the Rfam family "Bacterial small subunit ribosomal RNA", at positions 957 to 1353 of the family's 1533-position model. The record is from RNAcentral.
UAACGCGAAGAACCUUACCAGGUCUUGACAUCUUCUGCUAACCUAAGAGAUUAGGCGUUCCCUUCGGGGACGGAAUGACAGGUGGUGCAUGGUUGUCGUCAGCUCGUGUCGUGAGAUGUUGGGUUAAGUCCCGCAACGAGCGCAACCCUUAUUGUCAGUUGCCAGCAUUAAGUUGGGCACUCUGGCAAGACUGCCGGUGACAAACCGGAGGAAGGUGGGGAUGACGUCAAAUCAUCAUGCCCCUUAUGACCUGGGCUACACACGUGCUACAAUGGACGAUACAACGAGUCGCUAGACCGCGAGGUUAAGCUAAUCUCUGAAAGUCGUUCUCAGUUCGGAUUGCAGGCUGCAACUCGCCUACAUGAAGUUGGAAUCGCUAGUAAUCGUGGAUCAGC